GUACAUGACUAAGGUAAUUAGCAACUAAAUUGUUUGAAAAUUUACUUGGCUAACAUUAUGUAUUGUUACUUCUGAAAUGGAGCUUCAACUGAUAGUAAGCUAGAGAUCUUCAGGUACCAGUCUUUAUUCAAUGAAUUGAAGCACCAUAUAUUUUUUUUAGUACAUCUAUUUUUUUCCUGUUUAAUCAAAAUGGUUGACUUAACUGUGCAAAUGAAAAAAUUUACUAUUUCAAUAUUACUUAACAAAAGCAUUGAACCUGACCAAUUCAUACUACCUGUCCUCUUUUGUUUUUCUAUAAACUUAAUUGAGGGUUUUUGUUUUCUGUUUCCAAUUUACAAGUCACGAUGAAUUCGAUAAGUUUUACUUCCAAAAGAAGUACAUUGAAGAUGGAGCAUGAAAAAGGUGAUUUUGAUGUCAACGAUUAUGGUGAGGAGGAUGAGGAGAAACAAGGAGAAGAGGGAAAAAAAUCGAGAUGAGGGAACAGUUGAGGAAGACCAAAGUGGAUGGAAUAAUGAUGAGAUGGAAUAACUUGAGAAAGUGUAUAAGGAUCUUCAUCACCAGUGGCGUGAUAGGUGGUAGUAGUAUGCAGUGAGAGUGGUUCCCAUUUUUCGGCAACCAGUUGGGUUGAGAUUGUAGCUGAAGAUUUGAAGUUUAUCAUGAAAGUCAGACUAGAUUGGAAAGGAGAUUUCGGAGGUCCAGAGAAGCAGGGGUGAGCCAGAGAUGGAGGAAACAUGAUGGGGAAGAACAAGGAUCUUCAAGAACGUGCCAUCGCAUCAACAAACAGAGAUUGAAGACGUGGCUUUCGGAAUAGUGGAACGGCAAUAAAAUCACGCCACACGCCUGAAAGCAGGAAAAGAUUCCUUUUUUUUUCCUUCUUUCUCCAAAUGCAUACUGUUAGUUAUUUAUUUUAAAGUGGGGCCAACACUAUGGGCUUCAGGUUUGAACAUUAGUGUUCUUUUCUUUUGUUGAUUGCUUUAAGUAUUCAUUUUUUUUGUUGUUGUUGUUUAUUUUGUUGUUUAGGGUUUCAGACAUAUACAAACGAGUUGCAGCUAAAAGUGCUGUCGUAAAUGGUUCUAUAAUUUGCAGGGAACACCUCUGAAUCUCAUUUCGUCAAUCACCCGGUGAGUUAUUAACUUAUUAUCACGGCAUGGCAAUUUUUUUUAUCUAUCUAUUAAUAUAUAAUGGUUAACUAGCCAAACACUAAAACCACACUAUUUAUUUAGCACUGUUAGAUGGUUUCUGAGAAGUGACAGGUGUCUCCCAAACUUUUUCUUUCUUUUGUGUUUCGCUCCUCAGCAAAAAGCCAAAAUCUUCUUACCUGGUGGAAGGUUAUCAGAGAAGAUCUUUGUCCAAUGGGUUGAAGAGAGUUAAUCUGGCAGCAAUUCUAAAAACCACCAUUUAGGGGAAGAAAACGAAAAUAUUAGCUUUUGAUUGGAUGAUUAGGGUAAACAAUGGAUUGAGAACUCAUUGUCCCUCAGGUAAUGAAGCAGAACUCUCUUCUGCAGCAAUUUGGGCGCGAUCUUUUCCUUUCAAAUCAGGAUUUGAACACCAAAUUUUGAGCGCAAUUUUUUCAUUUGAAAUUAGAGUUUAAAAUGACAUCCUCAAGCGCCUCUACCACACCGAAGAUGCCCUUCAAGAUAUGAUGGAGAUGAAGGUAGAAGUCGUGGCGAUGCUAAAGUCGCUGCACCGCUGGCAGCAUUCCUUCAUAACCCGUUGGCUGUGCAGGAGUUGAGGGCUAACAAGAAUGAAUUGCGAGUAGAAAAGUUGAAGGACAAAGAGGAAGUAGAGGACUUAACUCAGAAAAUGGCUGAGCUGUUGUAUCGAACUCUCAUCCCUAGACCUCAAGCUUCAUCUCUCCAACUCAAUUGGCAGGAAUGGAUCUUUGGUUGAUGGAUGGAAGUGGUCGAGGCUUAAUGGAGGGCAUGCAGGACUAACAUAAGCAAUGAAGACAUGAAAUAUUUAAACAAAACAAGCUGGUGACAACGAGAUUACUGCCUGUAUUUACAUGUGAUCUUAUAACUCGCUUCUAUGCCUCAACAUUUUUGUGUUGAAGAUUGAUUUUUCAUGUUUGGUGGAUAGAAUAAGAGAAAAGAAUGGGAUUGCUUUGGUUUCAUC
Long non-coding RNA from Arachis duranensis, 2115 nucleotides. RefSeq lists it as uncharacterized. The record is from RefSeq and is a predicted model, not a curated record. Lineage: Eukaryota; Viridiplantae; Streptophyta; Magnoliopsida; Fabales; Fabaceae. The transcript has 7 exons.